This 720-nucleotide ribosomal RNA is filed under the name uncultured bacterium. RNAcentral describes it as "bacterial SSU rRNA". It matches the Rfam family "Bacterial small subunit ribosomal RNA", at positions 28 to 776 of the family's 1533-position model. The record is from RNAcentral.
GAUGAACGCUGGCGGCGUGCCUAACACAUGCAAGUCGAGCGAUCUUCUUCGGAAGAGAGCGGCGGACGGGUGAGUAACGCGUGGGUAACCUGCCCUGUACACACGGAUAACAUACCGAAAGGUAUGCUAAUACGGGAUGACAUAUGAAAGUCGCAUGGCUUUUAUAUCAAAGCUCCGGCGGUACAGGAUGGACCCGCGUCUGAUUAGCUAGUUGGUAAGGUAACGGCUUACCAAGGCGACGAUCAGUAGCCGACCUGAGAGGGUGAUCGGCCACACUGGAACUGAGACACGGUCCAGACUCCUACGGGAGGCAGCAGUGGGGAAUAUUGCACAAUGGGCGAAAGCCUGAUGCAGCAACGCCGCGUGAGCGAUGAAGGCCUUCGGGUCGUAAAGCUCUGUCCUCAAGGAAGAUAAUGACGGUACUUGAGGAGGAAGCCCCGGCUAACUACGUGCCAGCAGCCGCGGUAAUACGUAGGGGGCUAGCGUUAUCCGGAAUUACUGGGCGUAAAGGGUGCGUAGGCGGUCUUUCAAGCCAGAAGUGAAAGGCUACGGCUCAACCGUAGUAAGCUUUUGGAACUGUAGGACUUGAGUGCAGGAGAGGAGAGUAGAAUUCCUAGUGUAGCGGUGAAAUGCGUAGAUAUUAGGAGGAAUACCAGUAGCGAAGGCGGCUCUCUGGACUGUAACUGACGCUGGGGCACGAAAGCGUGGGGAGCAAACAGG